This 845-nucleotide ribosomal RNA is filed under the name uncultured marine bacterium. RNAcentral's name for it is "bacterial SSU rRNA". It matches the Rfam family "Bacterial small subunit ribosomal RNA", at positions 57 to 950 of the family's 1533-position model. The record is from RNAcentral.
GCAAGUCGAACGAAGUAGCAAUACUUAGUGGCAGACGGGUGAGUAACAUGUAGGUAUCUUCCCUUUGGCCUGGAAUAACACGAGGAAACUUGUGCUAAUACCGGAUAAGUCUUUACGGAGAAAGCUUUAUGCACCAUUGGAUGAGCCUGCACUUGAUUAGUUUGUUGGUGGGGUAAUGGCCUACCAAGACUAUGAUCAAUAGCUGAUUUGAGAGGAUGAUCAGCCACAUUGGGACUGAGACACGGCCCAAACUCCUACGGGAGGCAGCAGUGGGGAAUAUUGCACAAUGGAGGAAACUCUGAUGCAGCGAUGCCGCGUGAGUGAAGAAGGCCUUUGGGUUGUAAAGCUCUUUCGUCGGGGAAGAAAAUGACUGUACCCGAAUAAGAAGGUCCGGCUAACUUCGUGCCAGCAGCCGCGGUAAUACGAAGGGACCUAGCGUAGUUCGGAAUUACUGGGCUUAAAGAGUUCGUAGGUGGUUGAAAAAGUUGGUGGUGAAAUCCCAGAGCUUAACUCUGGAACUGCCAUCAAAACUUUUCAGCUAGAGUAUGAUAGAGGAAAGCAGAAUUUCUAGUGUAGAGGUGAAAUUCGUAGAUAUUAGAAAGAAUACCAAUUGCGAAGGCAGCUUUCUGGAUCAUUACUGACACUGAGGAACGAAAGCAUGGGUAGCGAAGAGGAUUAGAUACCCUCGUAGUCCAUGCCGUANACGAUGUGUGUUAGACGUUGGAAAUUUAUUUUCAGUGUCGCAGCGAAAGCGAUAGACACACCGCCUGGGGAGUACGACCGCAAGGUUAAAACUCAAAUGAAUUGACGGGGACCCGCACAAGUAGUGGAGCAUGUGGUUUAAU